GACGAACGCUGGCGGCGUGCUUAACACAUGCAAGUCGAGCGGAAAGGCCCUUCGGGGUACUCGAGCGGCGAACGGGUGAGUAACACGUGAGUAACCUGCCCCAGACUUUGGGAUAACCCUCGGAAACGGGGGCUAAUACCGGAUACGACACAGCUUCGCAUGGGGUCUGUGUGGAAAGGUUUUCGGUUUGGGAUGGGCUCGCGGCCUAUCAGCUUGUUGGUGGGGUGAUGGCCUACCAAGGCGACGACGGGUAGCCGGCCUGAGAGGGCGACCGGCCACACUGGGACUGAGACACGGCCCAGACUCCUACGGGAGGCAGCAGUGGGGAAUAUUGCACAAUGGGCGGAAGCCUGAUGCAGCGACGCCGCGUGAGGGAUGACGGCCUUCGGGUUGUAAACCUCUUUCAGCAGGGACGAAGCGUAAGUGACGGUACCUGCAGAAGAAGCGCCGGCCAACUACGUG
RNAcentral lists this ribosomal RNA (462 nucleotides) under uncultured bacterium. Its description in RNAcentral is "partial 16S ribosomal RNA". It matches the Rfam family "Bacterial small subunit ribosomal RNA", at positions 28 to 507 of the family's 1533-position model. The record is from RNAcentral.